UGCCUGUAUGCUGCCAUCCUUUGCACCACGA
RNAcentral lists this non-coding RNA (31 nucleotides) under Rattus norvegicus (Norway rat). Lineage: Eukaryota; Metazoa; Chordata; Mammalia; Rodentia; Muridae. The record is from RNAcentral.